AAAUAUUUAUACAAAGAUCAAGAUCGUUAACAAUAAAAAGUUCACAUUUUAACUAUUCGGCCUCCAGAUUUCUGUGCUCAAGUUCCUGCCUUGACUUCCUUCCACAGUGGACUGUCACCUGUAAGCCAAAUAAACCCUUUCCCAGAA
Peromyscus eremicus (cactus mouse) is the source of this 147-nucleotide long non-coding RNA. RefSeq lists it as uncharacterized. NCBI's taxonomy places the organism in Eukaryota, Metazoa, Chordata, Mammalia, Rodentia, Cricetidae. The record is from RefSeq and is a predicted model, not a curated record. The transcript is spliced from 2 exons.